This 253-nucleotide ribosomal RNA is filed under the name uncultured bacterium. RNAcentral describes it as "partial 16S ribosomal RNA". It matches the Rfam family "Bacterial small subunit ribosomal RNA", at positions 524 to 776 of the family's 1533-position model. The record is from RNAcentral.
UACGGAGGGUGCAAGCGUUAUCCGGAUUCACUGGGUUUAAAGGGUGCGUAGGCGGCUUUAUAAGUCAUUGGUGAAAGCUCGCAGCUUAACUGUGAAACUGCCAAUGAAACUGUUUAGCUUGAAUGUGGUUGAAGUGGGCGGAAUACAACAUGUAGCGGUGAAAUGCUUAGAUAUGUUGUAGAACACCGAUUGCGAAGGCAGCUCACUAAGCCAUAAUUGACGCUGAGGCACGAAAGCGUGGGUAGCGAACAGG